CCACUUUUCCUUUCUCUCUCUACCUCUUCCCUUCUUCUCUCUAAAUAAUAUCCACCAUAGCUGCUGCGUCCCCCCUUUCCUGCAAAAUCAGGUUGGAGACCACCUUCCCCUUUUAUUCCCUCUUUCUCCAAUCUCUAAUCAGUGCUACAGCUCCAGCUAUCGUUCCCACCAUGAACCACCGACCAGUCCGUCUCCUCGCCGCUAUGCCACCAGAGAAAACAACUAGUGACCAGCAUCUGCUCUGAUGCCUAUCUAAAUAGCCUCCAGCCUCUGCCUCCACACCACCAGCCACCAGUUAAUGGCGAACCAGCUACUACCACCUAGCUCCGCCAGCCUGUCGUCCUCCCUUGUCUCUUAUUCGUUAUAUCCUCGCCAGAGUUGAUGACCGGCAAAGUUUUCAAUGAUCUUUCCCGCGAUUGAUAUUCCGAUUUGACCAAUUAAUACCUUAAAUUGCAUGUUUUGUUUGCU
This 468-nucleotide long non-coding RNA is filed under the name Capsicum annuum. RNAcentral's name for it is "long non-coding RNA (CANN_LNC006623)". The record is from RNAcentral. Lineage: Eukaryota; Viridiplantae; Streptophyta; Magnoliopsida; Solanales; Solanaceae.